This 426-nucleotide ribosomal RNA is filed under the name uncultured Verrucomicrobiota bacterium. RNAcentral describes it as "bacterial SSU rRNA". It matches the Rfam family "Bacterial small subunit ribosomal RNA", at positions 353 to 772 of the family's 1533-position model. Lineage: Bacteria; Pseudomonadati; Verrucomicrobiota. The record is from RNAcentral.
AGUCGAGAAUUUUUCUCAAUGGGCGAAAGCCUGAAGGAGCGACGCCGCGUGGGGGAUGAAUGGCUUCGGCCCGUAAACCCCUGUCAUUUGUGACCAAACCUUUUGAUCUAAUAAGUCAAAAGCUGAUGGUAGCGGAAGAGGAAGGGACGGCUAACUCUGUGCCAGCAGCCGCGGUAAUACAGAGGUCCCGAGCGUUGUUCGGAUUCACUGGGCGUAAAGGGUGCGUAGGUGGUCGGGUAAGUCUGAUGUGAAAUCUCACGGCUCAACCGUGAAACUGCAUUGGAUACUAUUCGGCUGGAGGGUUGGAGGGGGGACUGGAAUACUUGGUGUAGCAGUGAAAUGCGUAGAUAUCAAGUGGAACACCAGUGGCGAAGGCGAGUCCCUGGACAACUCCUGACACUGAGGCACGAAAGCUAGGGGAGCAAA